UACGUAGGGGGCAAGCGUUGUCCGGAUUUAUUGGGCGUAAAGAGCGUGUAGGCGGUUUGGUAGGUCCGCUGUGAAAACUCGAGGCUCAACCUCGAGACGCCGGUGGAAACCAUCAGACUAGAGUCCGGAAGAGGAGAGUGGAAUUCCCGGUGUAGCGGUGAAAUGCGCAGAUAUCAGGAAGAACACCCGUGGCUAAGGCGGCUCUCUAGUACGGUACUGACGCUGAGACGCGAAAGCGUGGGGAGCGAACAGG
Molecule: ribosomal RNA, 253 nt
Filed under: uncultured bacterium
Lineage: Bacteria
Description: partial 16S ribosomal RNA
Rfam family: Bacterial small subunit ribosomal RNA
Source: RNAcentral